UUUGAUGGCCUCAUAUUCUCCGCGUUCCGAAAAUAUGCGACUUCUUUAUUCUUCUAGUUGGAUCGGGCAAAACUGUCUUUGCGGUGGUGAAUAGCAUUCCCCGUCGUCCCCCCACCACCGAUAUGUUGACGGCGAAGGUUUGUCCUUCUGGUGUCCAAGGGUUCGAUCUUGUGGGUUUGAAUUCGGUAAGGGCCUAACUAUAUUUCUUUCUCCUUCAUUGUUGUGGGUUUAUGGGUUUCAUUUUCGACCGAUGCCUUCUCCAUCCUAUAAUUCGACGAAAAUUAUUCUUUCGGUGGUGAAUAUCGUUCCCGUCGUUCCCUACCGUUGAUAUGUUGAUGGCGAAGGUUUGUCCUUCUGGUGCACUAGGGUUUAAUCUCGCGGGUUUUAUCUUGGUAAGGGUAACUAUCUUUCGUUCUCCUACAUUCUUGUGGGUUUUGGGUUUCAUUAUUGUCCGAUGCCUUCUCCAUCCUUUAAUUCGACGAAAAUGAUUCUUCCGAUGGAUAAGCUUUUUGUACUGCUUGGAAUUAUGAAAAUUUGAAUCUUUUUCUGCCCAGAAAAGAACAUAGCGCCCUAAAGAGGGGUUUUCCAUAUCCUUUUAGGGUUUAGGGUUUGGUAUACCGUAUAUGAUAUGAUACGGGUUUGGUACAGCGUAUAUGAUAUGAUAUGAUACGGGUUUCAAAAUUCUGCACCCACAAGUCAUUGUGGCGAUAAUUGUGAAAGUAUGUCAAAAUGGGAUAUGUAGGUUAAAAUCUUGAAACAAUGAGCACUUAUGCAAUCUCUAUUACAGAACUGUGCUAAAGCAUGGUAAUUUUGUCUGCCUUUUUUUCCCAAUGACGUAAAAUAGGAAUGUUGAGAUACACAUUUCAUUUGGGGUGGUAUAAAUAAUUUUUCGUUGAAGAAAACCUCUGUUAUCUAUGUUCAGUUGGUCUUUAUGUCUUCAGAACCGUCCCUGAUCUUAUAAGCUAUCAAUUGGUUACAUAUUCUAAUCAAGCUUGCAUUCAUAUUAGGUCCUAGAAAGGGAACAUGCCUAGCUUGAUUUGCCUUUCUGCCUAUUCAUCUUGCUUAGUUUUGAAACUUUACAGUUUAAGGUCCUAAAAGCCUUUCUGCCUUUGUUGGAACAGUCCCUGAUCUUACAAGCAAUCAAUUGGUUAGAUUUCGAUUAAGCAUGCAUUUAUAUUAGGUCCUAGAAAGGGAGCAUGCCUAACUUGAUUUGCCUUUCUGCCUAUUCAUGUUGCUACAGUUCUAGAUCUUGACAGUUGAAGGUCCUAAAAGGGACUUUCAAUUGUCAUUUUGCCCUUCCACCUUUGUAGGAAUCGUCCCUAAUUUUAUUAGCUAUCAUUACUUAUAUUUCGAUUUUGCUUGCAUUCAUAUUAGGUCCUAGAAAGGAAAACAUGCCUAGCUUGAAUUGCCUUUUUGCUUGUUCAUGUUGCUGGAGUUUUGGAACUUGACAUUAGAAGGUCCUAGAAGGGACUUUUCAUAGUCAUUGAGACCUUCCUCUUUUGUCGGAAUCGUCCCUGAUAUUAUAAGUGAUCAAUUGGUUACGUAUUACGAUUAAGCUUGCAUUCAUAUUAGGUCCUAGAAAGGAAAACAUGCCUAGCUUGAAUUGCCUUUUUGCUUGUUCAUGUUGCUGGAGUUUUGGAACUUGACAUUAGAAGGUCCUAGAAGGGACUUUUCAUAGUCAUUGAGACCUUCCUCUUUUGUCGGAAUCGUCCCUGAUAUUAUAAGUGAUCAAUUGGUUACGUAUUACGAUUAAGCUUGCAUUCAUAUUAGGUCCUAGAAAGGAAAACAUGCCUAGCUUGAAUUGCCUUUUUGCUUGUUCAUGUUGCUGGAGUUUUGGAACUUGACAUUAGAAGGUCCUAGAAGGGACUUUUCAUAGUCAUUGAGACCUUCCUCUUUUGUCGGAAUCGUCCCUGAUAUUAUAAGUGAUCAAUUGGUUACGUAUUACGAUUAAGCUUGCAUUCAUAUUAGGUCCUAGAAAGGAAAACAUGCCUAGCUUGAAUUGCCUUUUUGCUUGUUCAUGUUGCUGGAGUUUUGGAACUUGACAUUA
Molecule: long non-coding RNA, 2047 nt
Filed under: Linum usitatissimum (flax)
Lineage: Eukaryota; Viridiplantae; Streptophyta; Magnoliopsida; Malpighiales; Linaceae
Description: long non-coding RNA (LUSI_LNC003964)
Source: RNAcentral